GGCGACGGGUGAGUAACACGUGGGCAAUCUGCCCUGCACUCUGGGACAAGCCCUGGAAACGGGGUCUAAUACCGGAUACGAGCCUCCUGGGCAUCUGGGAGGUUGGAAAGCUCCGGCGGUGCAGGAUGAGCCCGCGGCCUAUCAGCUUGUUGGUGAGGUAACGGCUCACCAAGGCGACGACGGGUAGCCGGCCUGAGAGGGCGACCGGCCACACUGGGACUGAGACACGGCCCAGACUCCUACGGGAGGCAGCAGUGGGGAAUAUUGCACAAUGGGCGCAAGCCUGAUGCAGCGACGCCGCGUGAGGGAUGACGGCCUUCGGGUUGUAAACCUCUUUCAGCAGGGAAGAAGCGAGAGUGACGGUACCUGCAGAAGAAGCGCCGGCUAACUACGUGCCAGCAGCCGCGGUAAUACGUAGGGCGCAAGCGUUGUCCGGAAUUAUUGGGCGUAAAGAGCUCGUAGGCGGCUUGUCGCGUCGAUUGUGAAAGCCCGGGGCUUAACUCCGGGUCUGCAGUCGAUACGGGCAGGCUAGAGUGUGGUAGGGGAGAUCGGAAUUCCUGGUGUAGCGGUGAAAUGCGCAGAUAUCAGGAGGAACACCGGUGGCGAAGGCGGAUCUCUGGGCCAUUACUGACGCUGAGGAGCGAAAGCGUGGGGAGCGAACAGGAUUAGAUACCCUGGUAGUCCACGCCGUAAACGGUGGGCACUAGGUGUUGGCGACAUUCCACGUCGUCGGUGCCGCAGCUAACGCAUUAAGUGCCCCGCCUGGGGAGUACGGCCGCAAGGCUAAACUCAAGGAUUGACGGGGGCCCGCACAAGCGCGGAGCAUGUGGCUUUAUUUCGACGCAACGCGAGAUCUUUACCUAAGGCUUGGACAUACACCGGAAACAUUCAGAGAUGGCUGCC
RNAcentral lists this ribosomal RNA (903 nucleotides) under Streptomyces sp. Its description in RNAcentral is "bacterial SSU rRNA". It matches the Rfam family "Bacterial small subunit ribosomal RNA", at positions 97 to 1014 of the family's 1533-position model. The record is from RNAcentral. Lineage: Bacteria; Bacillati; Actinomycetota; Actinomycetes; Kitasatosporales; Streptomycetaceae.